UACGAAGGGGGCUAGCGUUGCUCGGAAUUACUGGGCGUAAAGGGCGCGUAGGCGGACAGUUAAGUCAGAGGUGAAAGCCCAGGGCUCAACCCUGGAAUUGCCUUUGAUACUGGCUGUCUUGAGUAUGGGAGAGGUGAGUGGAACUCCGAGUGUAGAGGUGAAAUUCGUAGAUAUUAGGAAGAACACCAGUGGCGAAGGCGGCUCACUGGUCCGGUACUGACGCUGAGGUGCGAAAGCGUGGGGAGCAAACAGG
This 253-nucleotide ribosomal RNA is filed under the name uncultured bacterium. RNAcentral's name for it is "partial 16S ribosomal RNA". It matches the Rfam family "Bacterial small subunit ribosomal RNA", at positions 524 to 776 of the family's 1533-position model. The record is from RNAcentral.